GCAAGUCGUACGAGAAAGUCCCUGCUUGCAGGGACGAGUAUAGUGGCGCACGGGUGAGUAACACGUGGAUAAUCUACCUUCAAAUCGGGAAUAACUGUUCGAAAGGGCAGCUAAUACCGGAUAAAGUCAUUGCGACUUCGGUUGCAGUAAUGAAAGGGAGCCUCUGAUGUAAGCUUCUGUUUGGAGAUGAGUCCGCGCACCAUUAGCUAGUUGGUGGGGUAAUGGCCUACCAAAGCUACGAUGGUUAGCUGGUCUGAGAGGAUGAUC
This 267-nucleotide ribosomal RNA is filed under the name uncultured bacterium. RNAcentral's name for it is "partial 16S ribosomal RNA". It matches the Rfam family "Bacterial small subunit ribosomal RNA", at positions 57 to 305 of the family's 1533-position model. The record is from RNAcentral.